This is an RNA transcript of Hydractinia symbiolongicarpus, 8669 nucleotides long. RefSeq lists it as uncharacterized. The record is from RefSeq and is a predicted model, not a curated record. Lineage: Eukaryota; Metazoa; Cnidaria; Hydrozoa; Anthoathecata; Hydractiniidae. The transcript is spliced from 4 exons.
UAUAGAAAAAAUAUACUAUUCUCAAAUUGUUAAAAGAAUGGCAGUAUUAAUUAAAACAGAACAAAAGAAAUAUCAGUACACACAACCAUGGGAUGAUUCUGAUGUAGUUUUAUUUGCUGAGAACGAAAGAUUUUAUGUACAUUCAAGCAUUCUUCGUUUCACAUCUCCUGUUUUUAUAUCAAUGUUAUCCUCCAAUGUAGAAGAAGAAAGUGAGAAGGUGAUUAAUUUACGUGAGAAAAGAAAAAAGAUAUUUUGAAUCUUUUAAAUAUAAUUUAUCCAGUUGAUUUUGCAGUUAGAGAAGUCAAACUGAUAUACUAUCGUCAACACACGGCAAUCGCCCUAUUAAAGAAGACAUAAUACUUUUUUUAAAAGACACACAAAACUCGUACACACUUUGGAGAAUGAAAAUAUGACUGGAAAGAAGGCAGAACACAAAUGAUACAGUAGGAUAUUCAUCUUAUGAAGGUCUGCUGAAAUUGGGACAAGAGUUUGAUAUCAAAAGAAUCUCACUUUCAGUGGAUGUUUUUCUCUGCUCCGUCAAUUUCAACUACUCUUUCAAUGUAUUUCAAUUGGCUGAAAUAUUUAGGCUCCCAAAUACCCAAAAGAGGUAUAUAUUAAUUAUUAUAUAAAAGACUGCAACGAUUUUGGUAUUGAUUGGAGCGAAAUUUCUGCUUAAUCCAAGUUGAAAAUGAUAUGUGGGAGAAUUCAGGCAAUAACAACUAGCACAUCAAAACAUUGCAGCUCUUGUAAAUCGACGAGUUCUGAUUGCGAACAUUACCUACAAGACGUAGUUCGCAUAAAAGACUUUUUCAGCCUUCAGGGAAGUGCAAAGGCGUUUUCAGAAUCAUAUAACAUUAUAGCUAAUUGUGAUAUGUAUUAUAAUAAUGACAUUAAUAUGAUACAGAUAUUUGAGACAAGCUUGUAUCAAAACGUUUUGUAAAAAGUAAUCACUUAAUUUGUUGUAACUAGCUAUAUUCAGCAAUCAAAAUAUGUUCUUGUGUAUAGUAGUACAUAGCGUGACAACAUUAAUUUACGUGUUCUUUAAUAGCGCUUUAAAAAUUAUUCGCCAAUGUAUUUCCAACAUCUGCCAAUUCCUCCUUUAAGUAAUGAGUUUUUAUUUCAAUUUAUUUGAAUAUUCUAACAAGUUUUGUUAUAUAUAUACCUUAAUACUACUUAAGUAUUACGGAUUGUGAUUUUCUUGCUUUUUGCAGAAUUUGUCAAAAUUCGGAAAUUAGGAAUCAGUAAAAUACUUUGUAAGGUGCCAUUCACGAGAAUUAAAAUUUGCAAGAAAAACCCACGAAAAUUUAAUAAUUAGUGAAUGUUUAACCUCAGUAAACAAGAGUAAAAUUUUAUACACAAGGCAAGAAAAGCAAAAAAUGAACGUUGUCGUGUCGUUGAAACUGUAACUUUGUAAAUAUUCUAUUGAGAGACGUUCUCCAGUCAAGAUUGCUCACCCACCUAUGCGCAAGCACGUGGAUUGAUACAACUAAAUUCGUCACUAGGCCUCUUGAUGUUUCGUUAGAAGAGCACACAAAUUGAUAACAAAUUCCUUCCGAAUUGUCUUUACUGCACCUAAAAGUAUUUUGUACACACACGAUUGGUGCCUGAUGUCAAACGUGCAUAUAAUUUUUUGUGACCUGCUUUGUUAUUUUUCUGGUGAAGAAAUAUAAAUGAAUAUGCACGUAAAUUUUUCGCAAUGUUCCUUUUCUUAAAAAAAUAAAAUUUCUUCAUAUGUAGUCUGUAUCAGUCUCUCUUUGAGCUGGGGGCUUUUAAUUAUUUUUUCAUUUUCUUAUUGCGAAAAUAAAUAGGUUUAAGAACCUUGGUUAGCUCGUAUGCUGUUACAGUAAAGCAAAAUUUAUUUCGAUUGCUGUUUUGCGAGGUAGUAUACGUAUAUUAUACGUCUUGUUCAUAUUGCAUUGCAUGCCUUUUUGCUUUGUUUCUGCAAUUUUAAGGCAUAUAUAUUAUUUCUAUUAUUAUCCUAAUAUUAUAAAAGAAAUAGAUAUUCUCGCAACGGCCAAAUAUACCUACGUUUAAUUGAUUUUUAGUGUCUUAAUAUAAAAAGAAUUGUUCGCUUGCUGUAAUUGAGCAAAAACGGAAAAUGGGACAAGAGUAAAAGAACACAAACCUCAGUAUUCAGAAUCAUGGGACGAUUCAACUUGGUUGAUUCAGAUGUGACUUUAUUUGUUGGAGAUGAAGAGUUGCAUCACGUCACCAGCUUUUCAAAUCAUGUUGUCAUCUAAUUUUAAAGAAAGAAAAAAGAAGGUUGCUAGGGAAAAUUAAAAGAGAUAGUGUAAUUAAGUAUAAUUUAUCCAGCUCACUUUAUGAUUACAGGUUAAUAAAAAAAAGCUCGUAGUAAAAACACCUAAUAAGGCAACUAAUUCAGUAUAGAAUUUAUUUACUGAAAAAGUACUUGGUGGCUUAUUUGAUAAUUUAUGACUGCAUUGCAAUGUGUUUAUUACAAAAUGUUUAUUUCAUCUCACAAUUCUUGCGGUUAACAAUGUGUUUUAUAUUUAUACAGCUAUGUCAAAUAAAAUUUCACCUGAAAAUGCAACAUGAAGAAAACAUUACCAAUGCUUAAUACCAGACUUUUUGGCCAUUAUAAGUAUGACAACUACCUGGCAAGAAAUCCUUGGAUUAAUCGGUCCGAACGAUUGUGGACAAAUAAAGAUUAGUACCGGAUUAGUACCGGUUUCUUUUAAAAAUGUGUUUAACAAUUGAUACCAUUGUGUAUAUGCGCUGAAACGAAAAUGUCUGGGAACAACUUAUAUUUUUCCCAUUGUUCUUCUGCCGUGGAUUUUGCACGGACUUAUCGACUAGUAUUAUAAUUGUCUUUUUUUAGAUAGACUAAGUGGAUCAAUGCAAUUCGAAUCAGCAAAAAAACUCUUUCAUUCUCAAUUUCAUCAAUUUCAGAAGCCUCCACUACUCCCCACGGAAAUAUCUGUGGGCGUAAACGUUUGCCUGACGUUUCUGUUAUAAAAUUAAAGUUUUUCAAAUUUUUUAAUUGCUGAGAAUAUGAGCAAAAAGUAACAUAAGAGUGACGAAGAAUCAUAUAUUUAUAAUCAAUUAAAUAUUUCAUAUUGCCUCAGCAUUACCCAAAAAUAUACCCAAAUUGUUUUGAAAAUGUUUUAAUAGGUAGGAGCGAAAAAUUACCAGCCUGUACUAAUUCAAAAGUUGUUUCACAGUCUGAGACCAUACACGAAGCAAUAAACUACUCUCUACUUAGUUUAAAACAAGGUGAACGCAAUAAAAGUUGCUUCUGUUAAUUGAGAAAUUCUCUACACAAUAUCUUCAAAUGUGUAAAGCCUUUUUAUAAAAACAAGGUGCUUAAAAAAAGAAACUUGGGUCUAUAAUAAAUGGAUUAGAAAUAGAAAGUUGUAAAAGUUGUAUUUUCAGGGUUUGAUUUUGAAAGAACAAAGGAAAGCCAUAUUUGAAAGUGGAAUGCUAUAUCUAAUAACAAAUAAUUCCUAGGUAAAAUAUCGAGAAAUAAUGACAGAUGUUGCUCGUACAGAAACUUUUGUCACUUAAUUUGUAGCUGUGGUUCUUGGCAAAUAUUGAGUGUACAAUUCUGCAUAUUUAUUUAAAUAAACUUGUUUGUUUAUUUUCUUGUAGUUUGAUAUUUGAUUUCGGUGCAUUUGUAUAUUUGUGUCGCCUAUGAAGUCUUUAAAACGUCACAGCGAUUUUAUGCCUGAUUAGUGCUAUAUAAAAAAUAUAUAUAUUUACUAUAUUAUAUAUAAAAUUAUGCAUUUACUUUAUUUCUUUUAUCAUUUAUUAUUUUUGAUUUAUUUUGCAAAUUAUCCCUGUUAUUUGAUGUUAGUGAUUCAUUUAAUGUUAUUUUGUAAUUUUUUUUUUUAAAUAAUCACACACAUUUUUCUUAUUUAGAUGGGUGUAGAAUAAACUUCAUCUAUGCUUGCAGACUAAAACGAGUGAUGCUCAAUACGAUUUAAUUUAAAAAAAAUUCUAUUAGUUUCCAUAUGCCACCAACUAAUAUUGAUAUUGGUGAAGGACGAAAUUUUACUUACGUUAUAUGCUUUCGAAACCAUGAUAUCAUGAAGUCUUAAUCAACAGCAAUUAUGCUCUAUUAAGAUAAUUACAGAAUACUUUACUUCUGAAGCAGUGCCGUAACCACCGGGGGGGCAGGGGGGCCCGCCCCCCCCCCCAUAAUUUUUUCAAAGAUGGUUAUGACAAGUUAAGAAAAACGUUUUGUCUUAUGUCUAAAGACCAUUUGUUAUAUAUAAACAAACUAAACACUUAUUGAGAAUGAUUUAUAACCGAUUUCCACUCUUUUAUUUAUUUAAAACGCGUGACUCUUAUACUUGCUGCAUGGAAAUGAUGAUGAAAUUGGAUGGAAACUACAUUCUGAUAGUGUUUGCUGCAUGGAAAUGAUGAUGAAAUUGGAUGGAAACUACAUUCUGAAAAUAGUGUUUGUGAGAAGACGAGAACGAGUUGGACUGACUUCAAAAAAAAAAAAAAAAGAAACGUGUAAGAAUAUAGAAUUAACAAAGUAACAGACUAAUUUGAAAAAGAGUGAAAAUGCCGAAGAAAACAAGUGAUUUAUCAAAAUGGCUCAUUAGACCUGAAAAGUAAGUGACUUAUUAAUAAAUAAAUAUUUAAUUACUUUGUUAACCCCACCACUGCUUUUUAAUUCAUCCCAUAACUGUUAUCCAAGCAACCUUUACACUUGUUUUGCUUUUCAGACGAACAAACGAAGAAGCAACAACAACACCUACAACGACGACACCUACAACGACAGCACCAACCAACCCGGAGAAUAAUUUUAAGGAAACAACGAGUGAUCCAUCUAAACCGAACCAACCUCGUUCUUUGAGUUUUCCAAAAACAACGUUUGGUAAAGAUCCGAAACAAAGAUCGUUUAACCCAACAUGGUUUGACAAGUUCCUCUGGUUACAUUACGACCAAAAUAAAGACGCUGCUUUUUGCUUUACUUGUUUCAGUGCUCUUAGAAAAAGCAUGAUUUCUGCAACAAAAGCAGAGACAGUUUUUACUGAAACCGGCUACCGAAAUUGAAAAAAGGCGCUUGAAUCUGGAAGAGGAUUUUCUAAACACGAAUGUAGCGACUCCCAUAAAGAAGCCACUGAAAGACUGAUUACUGCGCCAGGUACAUCAAAGGACAUUGGUGAAAUCAUGGUAGAUAAUCUUGCAGCCACAAAGGAAAGGAAUAGACGAAUGCUGUUAAAACUGUUGCAAAGCGUUCGAUAUCUAGGGCGACAAUCACUUCCGUUUAGAGGCAAUUGGGAUGAGGAAACACACAGCGAGUUGAAUUCGAACUUCCACCAGUUACUUUUACUCCGAUGUGAAGAUGAUAAGGAACUGAGUGCAUGGCUUGCAAAAAAGCAAAACUACACGUCACCGGCUAUUCAAAACGAAAUGCUGCGAAUCGAAGCACUUAGUAUUUUACGUGACAUUGCAAAAAAUAUUCAGUCAGCUGAGAUUUUCACAAUCCUUGCAGAUGAAACAGGGGAUGUCUCAAAUACGGAACAACUUGUCAUUUGCAUUCGGUGGGUUGAUGAUGAAUUACAGGCUCACGAGGAGUUCAUUGGCCUCCAUCCACUACCUGAUACUAGUGCUGACCAAAUCGUUUUUUUAAUCAAAGAUAUUCUUUUACGAAUGAACUUGAAAUUAGAAAGCAGUUUGUCGUUUCUACGAAGGAGAUAUUAACGAGUCACUUGCUAAAGUCCAAAUACCGCUACUCCCAGUCAUCGCAUCCAACCUUGGUUACGACAAAGAGAAAUUCAAAGUAACCGAUCUAAUCAAGCUGUUACAAAGUUUUGAUCAAUCUCAAAGAACUCUUCUAAGUGAAGUUGUCAAAAUAGCGAAAUUGUUAUUGGUAAUGCCGUCCACAAACGCCAUCAGCGAAAGAUCGUUUUCUGCUUUGAAACGAGUCAAAACGUACCUUAGAUCAACAACCACGAAUUUACGUUUGAACAAUUUGAUGGUCCUCCAUAUUCAUACUGAUUCCGUUGACAAAAUGGAUUUAACUCAAAUAGGAGAUGAAUUUAUCGAUAAACACCAAAGCAGAAUACACACUUUUGGCUAUUACUAUAGAUAACAUUUUUAGUCUUUUGUUCAUGAAAUUUAUGUAAACGUUUAUUCCCUGAUUUAAAAAAAAAACUCACAAAACUGGAGCAAUUGUCUGUAUUUUCCUUUAUUUUCGUGAUUUCUAGUGAUUAAAUGUCUUUAAAAAGUACUCUCAAAAAGGCUGUUUUAGCCAAUCUAGCGCACUCAAAAUUCAAAAAAUUUCUUGGCCCGUCGGCCCCAACCAUGGCUGGGCCUCCUUAGACACUGUAACUAGGCUGGCCCCCCCAAAACGAAAUUCGUGGUUACGGCACUGCUUCUUUACAAAUUUGUUUGCUAAGUUUAUUUUUAUUUCCUUUUUCAAUAUUUUUUUGGAAAAGUUGUAAAAUUGUCUGUUUCGAAAAGCGACUUAUUUUAUUUCCACUUGAAAUUGUGUUGUUAUAGGAUUCAAAUAGAAACUAACUACACUACAUUAUGGCUUAACAAUCAUUUCAGGUUUUUGGAAAAUUAAAUUCAAGAAAUUUGUUAUUUACUAAUUAAAGCACACUUAUUUCAUUUGUUGUUUCAAAAUAAUAUAAAGAUGUAAGCUUUUCGACACAUAAAAUACUGAAAUUCAAAACCUUACUAAAUAUGGUACCAGAAAAAUAUGGUAAUAAUUUACCUUGCGUUCAAGUACACCAUGAAUUAUUAAAUACAUUAUGCCCCUCUGUUGAGUUUGUUACGAAAAAGCUUCAUUCAUUUUCACUCAUUCUGUUCAAAACUUUACUGGAAGAUAACUAUUAACAAAUUUCUAAAAUUAAAACUACAUGUACUAUCGGAUGUCAGUAUUUUUUAUCUGUGGUAAACUGUGAAUUUACUUGUAGCUAAACUAAACAAUUUUUGGCUUCUGAUAAUAAUUUUCGGUGCAAUACACUAUUAACCAUUCCGUUGAGUAUUCUAUUUAAAGUAAACUUGAUGGAUAAUUUAUCGAAUAAUUCACUGUCCUUUCAUAAACAAAUAAAGGUGGUGAUUAAAACAGCAGCUUUAAUAACAAGUAAAAUAAAGUUCUUCAUGUUUUAAAAUUUGCAUGUUCCAGAAUAAUUCCAUAAAAACAGUUUUACGCACAUUUUUCCAUUCCAUAUUACUUGCCAGAACCAGAUGAGGUACUCCCCUUGAUAUUGCAAAAAAAAAGUGAUAUGUUAUCUUGUAAAAACGUCAACAGCUUUCUAAUUUAGCCAUAUUCCUAAUACAAACUUAAACUUCUGAUAAUAUUGUGCCACAAAUGAUUUUAUAAUUGACGGCAUCAUAAAAAAUAUAUCAUAUAUUGUUUAAAUAUAUAUUUUACUUGGUUUUGUUAGCUCAAAAGUUAUAAGAUGUCAUUAGCAAAAGUAGAAAACGACAAACAUCAAUAUUCAGAACCAUGGGAUGAUUCUGAUGUGACUUUAAUUGUAGAAGAAGAAAAAUUUUAUGUACAUUCAAUGAUACUUGGUUUCGCUUCUCCUGUAUUUAAAGCUAUGUUAUCAUCUAAUUUCAAAGAAGGAAGAGAGAAGGUGAUUAACCUUCCAGGAAAAUCUAAAACGACUGUACUGGCGAUGUUAAAUUUAAUUUACCCCAUCGAAUAUAGAAUAAAAAAUUAUUCGUGUUGUCAGGCAUUACUGGAAUUUUCAAUGGAGUACAGCAUAAAAAAAGUCGCGCAGAAUGUCGAUGAUUUUCUUAAUGAAAAAUCCAGAUGUUCCUUGGACGUAUUAAAACUUGCUGAGAAGUACGAUCUAGAGAAAACAAAAAAAAAGAGCUAUUUCACAUUUUAUUACGGAGAAUAGAGCUUUUUUUGGUUCCAAUAAUCUCAAAUGCAAUUGGAAUAAUGUUUCAGAAAAAACAAAGUUAGAAAUAGUAUGUGGCAUGAUUAAGAACCUACAUGGUGACAAAGCGUGUUGUGCUUGUGGAAAUAAUAUAAAUUCCAUGUCUACAAAAUUUCUGAAUCUCACUACUGCUUCCCGUUUGUUCUGCCUUUAGCAAAUACAAAACAUUCUUCUCCCGGAAAUAACAUUCUUCUCCCGGAAAUUACGGUUAUUAAAUCCUGCAACGAAGGACAGGCCUAAACUUAAAUCAAUGUUUACAUCUGUUACGUUACGACCGUUUGAAGUAUUUUCGAUUCUUAAAUUCGAAAACGCUGCAUUGUUAUCUUCUUUGAUUUUAUGCGUGAUUUUCUGGAUUAUAAGUUUGGGUCUGUAAGACAAACUGUUCUUUUAAUAUUUUGGAUUUUAAAUAUUUCGGUAGAUAUACAAUAUCCCAAAUGAUUCAAGUUUUUAUAUUUCUCUUUUGUGUUUUCAACUAAUAAUUUCUUAUAUUUUGAGUAUACCUUUGGAAGGUUUGCCGUAUGCAAUAGACUGAAUAACUGAUUUUGUAUGACUUAACGAAAAUAUGUCGGAUUUUUUUUAAUGUUUGGUUUUUUCGCUGGUGUACUUCUGGAAUGGCAAAGCAAGUAUCUAGUUUUAGCGUAUUUCGCUUUUUAGGAAUGGUUGUAAGACACCUUUUAUUUUGGACAUUUUCCGGUUUUAUUAUUAUUAUUAUUAUUUUUGUUACACAUGCUUAUAUUUCGAAACGUUUUGUUUCAGCUGUUAUAAACAUAGAAUUAUGCAGAUUGUGAGCAACCUUUA